UCCCGUCUGGCUCAGUUGGUAGAGCAUGGUGUUCGCAACGCUAGGGUUGUGGGUUCCAUUCCCACGGGGGAC
Salmo salar (Atlantic salmon) is the source of this 72-nucleotide non-coding RNA. Lineage: Eukaryota; Metazoa; Chordata; Actinopteri; Salmoniformes; Salmonidae. The record is from Rfam.